GGGGCUAUAGCUCAAUGGCAGAGUGCUUGCCUACCAUGUAUGAGGCACUGGGGUUUGAUCCUUAGCAUCA
RNAcentral lists this transfer RNA (70 nucleotides) under Marmota monax (woodchuck). RNAcentral's name for it is "tRNA.Gly". The record is from RNAcentral. Lineage: Eukaryota; Metazoa; Chordata; Mammalia; Rodentia; Sciuridae.